RNAcentral lists this ribosomal RNA (491 nucleotides) under uncultured bacterium. Its description in RNAcentral is "partial 16S ribosomal RNA". It matches the Rfam family "Bacterial small subunit ribosomal RNA", at positions 29 to 507 of the family's 1533-position model. The record is from RNAcentral.
AGUGAACGCUGGCGGUAGGCCUAACACAUGCAAGUCGAACGGCAGCACAGUAAGAGCUUGCUCUUACGGGUGGCGAGUGGCGGACGGGUGAGGAAUACAUCGGAAUCUACUUUUUCGUGGGGGAUAACGUAGGGAAACUUACGCUAAUACCGCAUACGACCUACGGGUGAAAGCAGGGGAUCUUCGGACCUUGCGCGAUUGAAUGAGCCGAUGUCGGAUUAGCUAGUUGGCGGGGUAAAGGCCCACCAAGGCGACGAUCCGUAGCUGGUCUGAGAGGAUGAUCAGCCACACUGGAACUGAGACACGGUCCAGACUCCGACGGGAGGCAGCAGUGGGGAAUAUUGGACAAUGGGCGAAAGCCUGAUCAGCCAUACCGCGUGGGUGAAGAAGGCCUUCGGGUUGUAAAGCCCUUUUGUUGGGAAAGAAAAGCAGCAGGUUAAUACCCCGCUGUUCUGACGGUACCCAAAGAAUAAGCACCGGCUAACUUCGUG